GUGUCAGCCGCCGCGGUAAGACGGAGGGCGCAAGCGUUGUUCGGAAUCACUGGGCAUAAAGAGCACGUAGGCGGUCUACUCAGUCGGAUGUGAAAUCCCCCGGCUCAACCGGGGAACUGCAUUCGAUACUGGUAGACUCGAGGACAGGAGGGGUGAGUGGAACUCCAGGUGGAACGGUGAAAUGUGUAGAUAUCUGGAGGAACACCGGUGGCGAAGGCGGCUCACUGGCCUGUUUCUGACGCUGAGGUGCGAAAGCUAGGGUAGCGAACGGGAUUAGAUACCCCGGUAGUCCUAGCCGUAAACGAUGGGCACUAGGCAAUGGGUUUUCCCUAUGGGACUCAUAGCCGUAGCUAAUGUGUUAAGUGCCCCGCCUGGGGAGUACGCUCGCAAGGGUAAAACUCAAAGGAAUUGACGGGGGAUCACACAAGCGGUGGAGCAUGUGGUUUAAUUCGAAGCAACGCGAAGAACCUUACCUGGCCUUGACAUGCAUGGAUUAGCCCUGUGAAAGCAGGGUGACAGCUCUUCGGAGUCGGAACAUGUGCAGGUGUUGCAUGGCUGUCGUCAGCUCGUGUCGUGAGAUGUUGGGUUAAGUCCCGUAACGAGCGAAACCCUUAUCGUUAGUUGCCAGCGGGUCAUGCCGGGGACUCUAGCGAGACUGCCGUUGUCAAAACGGAGGAAGGUGGGGACGACGUCAAGUCAUCAUGGCCCUUAUGGCCAGGGCGACACACGUGCUACAAUGGCCGAUACAAAGGGUUCCAAAAUCGUGAGAUCAAGGCAAUCCCAUAAAGUCGGCCCCAGUUCGGAUUGCAGGCUGCAAUUCGCCUGCAUGAAGCUGGAAUCGCUAGUAAUCGCGUAUCAGCCAUGACGCGGUGAAUAUGUUCCUGAUCCUUGCACACACUGCCCGUC
Molecule: ribosomal RNA, 906 nt
Filed under: uncultured bacterium
Lineage: Bacteria
Description: bacterial SSU rRNA
Rfam family: Bacterial small subunit ribosomal RNA
Source: RNAcentral